Molecule: long non-coding RNA, 780 nt
Filed under: Bos taurus (domestic cattle)
Lineage: Eukaryota; Metazoa; Chordata; Mammalia; Artiodactyla; Bovidae
Description: long non-coding RNA NONBTAT001144
Source: RNAcentral
GAGAAACAUCUAAGUCUGGUACCUUACAGGUUCACAUUAUUGUGGAUUCCAAGCCGCCUCAAUUGUCAGUAGACCAUUACAGCUUGCGUGUGGUUUAUUUGGUUUGGAAUUACUUCAACUUUCCAAAGACACAGUGAAUUUGUAAAAACAGAUCAUUAAUGAUAACCCAGAGCACUUAUGUUUGAAAUAUUGGGUGGAUGCAGCAGUUAGGAUAUUUUUUUUUCCUGAUGGUUGUCUAUUCUUUAAAGGCAGGGCUGUCUAGAGGCCACCGGAUUGAAUGCUUCUGAAGAUUAGCCUCUCAUUGUUUGAAUGUUUUCAUAGUAUUGUUGUAAUAAAGCAUCUUCAUACUUCACAGCUGAGAUCUUGACUUUGCGAAUUAAAAAAAAAGUCAGAGGCUAAUCAUAACAAUUAGCUAAUGUGUCAACAAUUAGCACUUUCCAUCAACCUGCUCUAAAAGGAGACUCUUCUUAUCCACUUGCAGACAAAAAUGCAAUGAUGUAGUUAAGAAAAGCACUGAAAUUGGCUCUUAGAGUCCCCUGCUGUAGCCAACUAAAUCCCCAGGGCAUUGUUUACAGUGAUUAUUCUGCCAUUAUGAUGUUAUUGCUUAGGCGGAGGGGGGGUUGUAGAAUGCUCAAAAUAAGUUGAUUCUUUUUUUCUAAAAGACAAAACAAAGCAUUAAAAGAAAACAAUCCCUUUUUGGCUGCUUUUGGAAAAGUAGAACAAAAACUGCUGUGAAAGGUCAGCCAGUUACAGUACUUUAGUGUUUAACUGGUAAAUACU